This 376-nucleotide ribosomal RNA is filed under the name uncultured organism. Its description in RNAcentral is "bacterial SSU rRNA". It matches the Rfam family "Bacterial small subunit ribosomal RNA", at positions 45 to 433 of the family's 1533-position model. The record is from RNAcentral.
UGCCUAAUACAUGCAAGUCGAACGAGGUAGCAAUACCAAGUGGCGCACGGGUGAGUAACACGUAGAUAAUCUGCCUCGGAGUGGGGAAUAACUCAGCGAAAGCUGAGCUAACACCGCAUGAGACCACAAUAGCUGCGGCUAAAGGGGUUAAAAAUUUAUUGCUCCGAGAUGAGUCUGCGUCAGAUUAGCUAGUUGGUGGGGUAAUGGCCUACCAAGGCUACGAUCUGUAGCUGGUCUGAGAGGAUGAUCAGCCACACUGGAACUGAGACACGGUCCAGACUCCUACGGGAGGCAGCAGUAGGGAAUAUUGCGCACUGGGGGAAACCCUGACGCAGCAACGCCGCGUGAGUGAUGUUUCUUUCGGGUCGUAAAGCUC